CUACGGGCUGCAGCAGUGGGGAAUAUUGCACAAUGGGCGCAAGCCUGAUGCAGCCAUGCCGCGUGUAUGAAGAAGGCCUUCGGGUUGUAAAGUACUUUCAGCGGGGAGGAAGGGAGUAAAGUUAAUACCUUUGCUCAUUGACGUUACCCGCAGAAGAAGCACCGGCGAACUCCGUGCCAGCAGCCGCGGUAAUACGGAGGGUGCAAGCGUUAAUCGGAAUUACUGGGCGUAAAGCGCACGCAGGCGGUUUGUUAAGUCAAUGUGAAAUCCCCGGGCUCAACCUGGGAACUGCAUCUGAUACUGGCAAUCUUGAGUCUCGUAGAGGGGGGUAGAAUUCCAGGUGUAGCGGUGAAAUGCGUAGAGAUCUGGAGGAAUACCGGUGGCGAAGGCGGCCCCCUGGACGAAGACUGACGCUCAGGUGCGAAAGCGUGGUGAGCAAACAGGAUUAGAUACCCUCGUAGUC
RNAcentral lists this ribosomal RNA (463 nucleotides) under uncultured bacterium. Its description in RNAcentral is "partial 16S ribosomal RNA". It matches the Rfam family "Bacterial small subunit ribosomal RNA", at positions 339 to 795 of the family's 1533-position model. The record is from RNAcentral.